GGGAAGGUAGUCUAGAUUGGUAUGAUACUUGGUCCGGGACCAAGAGGUCGGGGGUUCAAAUCCCUCCUUUCCCA
This 74-nucleotide transfer RNA is filed under the name Promethearchaeota archaeon. RNAcentral's name for it is "Candidatus Lokiarchaeota archaeon (marine sediment metagenome) tRNA-Pro". It matches the Rfam family "tRNA". Rfam says of the family: Transfer RNA (tRNA) molecules are approximately 80 nucleotides in length. Their secondary structure includes four short double-helical elements and three loops (D, anti-codon, and T loops). Lineage: Archaea; Promethearchaeati; Promethearchaeota. The record is from RNAcentral.